RNAcentral lists this ribosomal RNA (155 nucleotides) under uncultured Thelephoraceae. RNAcentral's name for it is "5.8S ribosomal RNA". It matches the Rfam family "5.8S ribosomal RNA". Rfam says of the family: 5.8S ribosomal RNA (5.8S rRNA) is a component of the large subunit of the eukaryotic ribosome. The record is from RNAcentral. Lineage: Eukaryota; Fungi; Basidiomycota; Agaricomycetes; Thelephorales; Thelephoraceae.
AACUUUCAGCAACGGAUCUCUUGGCUCUCGCAUCGAUGAAGAACGCAGCGAAAUGCGAUAAGUAAUGUGAAUUGCAGAAUUCAGUGAAUCAUCGAAUCUUUGAACGCACCUUGCGCCCUCUGGCUAUUCCGAAGGGCAUGCCUGUUUGAGUAUCA